CUCUCGGGACUUCGGUUUCGGGGGAGUGGCGCACGGGUGAGUAGCGCGUGGGAACCUGCCCUGUUGUGGGGGAUAACCGAGGGAAACUUCGGCUAAUACCGCAUGCGCCCGAGACCUAGUCUUCGGAUGAGGCUUCGGGGAAAGAUUUAUCGCAGCAGGAGGGGCCCGCGUCGGAUUAGCUAGUUGGUGGGGUAACGGCCCACCAAGGCGACGAUCCGUAGCUGGUCUGAGAGGAUGAUCAGCCACACUGGGACUGAGACACGGCCCAGACUCCUACGGGAGGCAGCAGUGGGGAAUAUUGGACAAUGGGCGCAAGCCUGAUCCAGCAAUGCCGCGUGAGUGAUGAAGGCCUUAGGG
This 357-nucleotide ribosomal RNA is filed under the name uncultured bacterium. RNAcentral describes it as "bacterial SSU rRNA". It matches the Rfam family "Bacterial small subunit ribosomal RNA", at positions 69 to 422 of the family's 1533-position model. The record is from RNAcentral.